UACGUAGGGGGCAAGCGUUGUCCGGAAUCAUUGGGCGUAAAGCGCGUGUAGGCGGCCCGAAAAGUCUGGUGUGAAAACUUGAGGCUCAACCUCAAGCUGUCACUGGAUACUGUCGGGCUUGAGUCCGGAAGAGGAGAGUGGAAUUCCUGGUGUAGCGGUGGAAUGCGCAGAUAUCAGGAGGAACACCAAUGGCGAAGGCAGCUCUCUGGUACGUGACUGACGCUGAGACGCGAAAGCGUGGGUAGCAAACAGG
RNAcentral lists this ribosomal RNA (253 nucleotides) under uncultured bacterium. RNAcentral's name for it is "partial 16S ribosomal RNA". It matches the Rfam family "Bacterial small subunit ribosomal RNA", at positions 524 to 776 of the family's 1533-position model. The record is from RNAcentral.